UUUGAACCCGAGGCAAGCCCUAAAUCACUCAAACAGCCUCCUCCCCAACUCUUCACUCUCAAGAGCAGCCAAUCCCAAUCCCUUACUCGAAAAGUUGAUAAAAUAAUGAAGAGCCCAUAAGUUUUUUCAAGAAUUUGGUUCUGAAGGAGGCUAUUUGCAGAAUUGGAGCAAGAAAUAAGUUCUAUUUGAAGGGAGUUGGAGAGUUUGUAGACUUGUAGUUCGAUUUGAAUUUUGAAGAAAAGGAGUUUAAGGUAUGAUCUUGCUUUUCUCUCAACUUUCCUUGCUUUCUUUGGAUGGUUUUGUGUUUCUUUGUUAUGUGCAAUUGGAAUUGGAAUUUGGAUACCUUGUAAUUGUUUGCCGCUGUUGCCCAUCUCUAUUUAAUUGGGUAAAUGUUAGCAAGUUACAGAGGACGAGUGUGGUUUUAUAGUUUUUGUGGAAUUGUGUUUAUGGUAAUCAUCGAGGGAAAGCAGAACGAAGGAGUGGUGUUUCACCUAUAUGCAUCUUCAAAAAUUGAUUGGUUAUAAUUUUAGAAUAAUAUCACUGUCAAUCCGAUAGGAAAAAGGCCUUGCUUAAACAACUGUCAAUUUACCAGGAAUUGGGAAGCCAUAUAACACAGUUGUAGAUUGUUCAGCUGUAAUUUGUUCUUCCUUUGUCUUGUAUAUCGUUCUGUAAAUGGAAGGGUGUCCGUCUUUUCUAUAAUCCGUAAGCCUACUAAUGUUAAGAUAUGUCACUGGAGUUUUCAUUUCUUUAAGUACACUCUCUAGAGCUCUCAUUUUUGAAGGGUAAUGCGUUGGAUAAGUCUCAUUAAAGAUUGGUUCUGUUUCUUUGUGUCACUGUCCACCUGAGUUCCAUUGCCCUCCACUGAAAUGGGUGACUGAAUAUCCUCUGAAGAAAACCCGAGUCCUGUUGGCAUUGAUGUAUCUGUCCAUUUCACAUGCACUUUUAUCAUAGAUUGUCGGACAAUCUAUGAUAAAAGUGCAUGUGAAAUGGACAUGGAAGCAGCCAAGACAAAGAGAAGUACUGGCAGUCUUGAUGGUCAGAGGAGGGAUUAUGUCAUGCCUGGGGAGACAAGAAUCAGAAUCAUUGAGUUCAAAUCAGAGCAUCUUUGCUUUAAGAGAACUAUGGAGAAGCACAGACUGUAACAGCUGAGCAUUCCAAUAAUAAUAGCCAGGGCUAAGGGCCUCAUAAGCAAGCGGACUAUAUAGCUUCGGGAUCCAAGCAACAGAUCAUGGCUUAUUAAAGUGACUCGCAUGGAAGAUGGUCGUUUACUUAUGAACAAAGGCUGGCGUGCUUGUAGCAAGUGGAACCAGAUUAAGAAAGGGCACACAAUUGUUUUUGAGUUUGUGAAGGGACAUGUGAAGCUUCACAUCAUUAGAGCUGAGGGGUGUGAUGUGAUACUCACAGGUUCUAAUGUAGUAGAUUGAAGUUAGUUCCCAGUGCAGGUGCAAAACUCUUUUCAAAUGCUAUGAUUAAUGGGAAUGUGAUCAGAGCAUUAACUUGUCUAUUUUCAGUAAGGUUAUUUUUCAUUUCCGAGACGCUUCUGAAUCUCUUAUGUAUUAGUGAUUGUUGUUUGGUAUGUUCUGUAAUGGGAUUUGAAUGCAAUUUGGAAAGAGAUAAUUGACUAGUUGCUAUUUGAA
Rosa rugosa (rugosa rose) is the source of this 1637-nucleotide long non-coding RNA. RefSeq lists it as uncharacterized. Lineage: Eukaryota; Viridiplantae; Streptophyta; Magnoliopsida; Rosales; Rosaceae. The record is from RefSeq and is a predicted model, not a curated record. The transcript is spliced from 3 exons.